UACGUAGGGUGCGAGCGUUAAUCGGAAUUACUGGGCGUAAAGCGUGCGCAGGCGGUUUUGUAAGGCAGAUGUGAAAUCCCCGGGCUCAACCUGGGAAUGGCAUUUGGGACUGCAAGGCUCGAGUUUGGCAGAGGAGACUGGAAUUCCUGGUGUAGCAGUGAAAUGCGUAGAUAUCAGGAGGAAUACCGAUGGCGAAGGCAGGUCUCUGGGCUGAAACUGACGCUCAUGCACGAAAGCGUGGGGAGCAAACAGG
This 253-nucleotide ribosomal RNA is filed under the name uncultured bacterium. RNAcentral describes it as "partial 16S ribosomal RNA". It matches the Rfam family "Bacterial small subunit ribosomal RNA", at positions 524 to 776 of the family's 1533-position model. The record is from RNAcentral.